GACGAACGCUGGCGGCGUGCUUAACACAUGCAAGUCGAACGGAAAGGCCCUGCUUUUGUGGGGUGCUCGAGUGGCGAACGGGUGAGUAACACGUGAGUAACCUGCCCUUGACUUUGGGAUAACUUCAGGAAACUGGGGCUAAUACCGGAUAGGAGCUCCUGCUGCAUGGUGGGGGUUGGAAAGUUUCGGCGGUUGGGGAUGGACUCGCGGCUUAUCAGCUUGUUGGUGGGGUAGUGGCUUACCAAGGCUUUGACGGGUAGCCGGCCUGAGAGGGUGACCGGCCAAAUUGGGACUAGGAUACGGCCCAGACUCCUACGGGAGGCAGCAGUGGGGAAUAUUGCACAAUGGGCGGAAGCCUGAUGCAGCAACGCCGCGUGCGGGAUGACGGCCUUCGGGUUGUAAACCGCUUUCGCCUGUGACGAAGCGUGAGUGACGGUAAUGGGUAAAGAAGCACCGGCUAACUACGUG
RNAcentral lists this ribosomal RNA (468 nucleotides) under uncultured bacterium. RNAcentral describes it as "partial 16S ribosomal RNA". It matches the Rfam family "Bacterial small subunit ribosomal RNA", at positions 28 to 507 of the family's 1533-position model. The record is from RNAcentral.